This 497-nucleotide ribosomal RNA is filed under the name uncultured bacterium. RNAcentral describes it as "partial 16S ribosomal RNA". It matches the Rfam family "Bacterial small subunit ribosomal RNA", at positions 28 to 507 of the family's 1533-position model. The record is from RNAcentral.
GAUGAACGCUGGCGGCGUGCCUAAUACAUGCAAGUCGAGCGAACAGACGAGGAGCUUGCUCCUCUGACGUUAGCGGCGGACGGGUGAGUAACACGUGGAUAACCUACCUAUAAGACUGGGAUAACUUCGGGAAACCGGAGCUAAUACCGGAUAAUAUAUUGAACCGCAUGGUUCAAUAGUGAAAGACGGUUUUGCUGUCACUUAUAGAUGGAUCCGCGCCGCAUUAGCUAGUUGGUAAGGUAACGGCUUACCAAGGCAACGAUGCGUAGCCGACCUGAGAGGGUGAUCGGCCACACUGGAACUGAGACACGGUCCAGACUCCUACGGGAGGCAGCAGUAGGGAAUCUUCCGCAAUGGGCGAAAGCAUGACGGAGCGACGCCGCGUGAGUGAUGAAGGUCUUCGGAUCGUAAAACUCUGUUAUUAGGGAAGAACAAAUGUGUAAGUAACUAUGCACGUCUUGACGGUACCUAAUCAGAAAGCCACGGCUAACUACGUG